Molecule: transfer RNA, 73 nt
Filed under: Actinomycetota bacterium
Lineage: Bacteria; Bacillati; Actinomycetota
Also listed under: 1 other name
Description: tRNA-Met
Rfam family: tRNA
About the family: Transfer RNA (tRNA) molecules are approximately 80 nucleotides in length.
Source: RNAcentral
AGCGGGGUAGCUCAGUUGGUAGAGCAAGCGGCUCAUAAUCGCUGUGUCGCCGGUUCAAGUCCGGCCCUCGCUA